UACGUAGGGGGCUAGCGUUGUCCGGAUUUAUUGGGCGUAAAGAGCGUGUAGGCGGCCAGGUAGGUCUGCUGUGAAAACUCGAGGCUCAACCUCGAGACGCCGAUGGAAACCGUCUGGCUAGAGUCCGGAAGAGGAGAGUGGAAUUCCCGGUGUAGUGGUGAUAUGCGUAGAUAUCGGGAGGAACACCCGUGGCGAAGGCGGCCAUCUGGACCAGUACUGACGCUGAGGCACGAAAGCGUGGGGAGCAAACAGG
RNAcentral lists this ribosomal RNA (253 nucleotides) under uncultured bacterium. RNAcentral describes it as "partial 16S ribosomal RNA". It matches the Rfam family "Bacterial small subunit ribosomal RNA", at positions 524 to 776 of the family's 1533-position model. The record is from RNAcentral.